GACGAACGCUGGCGGCGUGCUUAACACAUGCAAGUCGACUUGAACGGCGCUGCUGGUGUGGGGUGGGCGAGUGGCGAACAAAGGAGUAACAUGAGAGUAACCUGCACCUGACUUUGGGGUAUCCUAAGGCAAGUGGGGCUGAUACUGGAUCGGCGUUCCUUCAUCAAGGUGGGGUGCGGUGUGAUUCGGCGGUUGGGGAUGGUCUCGCGGCUGAUCAGCUUGUUGGCGGGGUAGUGGCUUACCAAAGCUUUGACGGGUAGCCGGCCUGAGAGGGUGACCGGCCACAUUGGGACUGAGAUACGGCCCAGACUCCUACGGGAGGCAGCAGGGGGGAAUAUUGCACCAUGGGCGGAAGCCUGAUGCAGCAACGCCGCGUGCGGGAUGACGGCCUUCGGGUUAUAAACCGCUUUCGCCUGUGAUGAGGCGAGAGUGACGGUAAUAGGUGAAGAAGCACCGGCUAACUACGUG
This 468-nucleotide ribosomal RNA is filed under the name uncultured bacterium. Its description in RNAcentral is "partial 16S ribosomal RNA". It matches the Rfam family "Bacterial small subunit ribosomal RNA", at positions 28 to 507 of the family's 1533-position model. The record is from RNAcentral.